GCACCCGUAGCUCAGCUGGAUAGAGCGCUGCCCUCCGAAGGCAGAGGCCACAGGUUCGAAUCCUGUCGGGUGCGUCA
RNAcentral lists this transfer RNA (77 nucleotides) under Sphingomonas sp. Its description in RNAcentral is "tRNA-Arg". It matches the Rfam family "tRNA". From Rfam's summary of the family: Transfer RNA (tRNA) molecules are approximately 80 nucleotides in length. Their secondary structure includes four short double-helical elements and three loops (D, anti-codon, and T loops). Lineage: Bacteria; Pseudomonadati; Pseudomonadota; Alphaproteobacteria; Sphingomonadales; Sphingomonadaceae. The record is from RNAcentral.